GCCCCGCAGCUCCGCCCCCGGCCCGGCCAGGCCCGGCCCCGGGCCCGCUCGUCCGCUGCCCCGCAUGGAGCUGUCAGCCAUCGGCGAGCAGGUGUUCGCUGUGGAGAGCAUCCGGAAGAAGCGCGUGCGGAAGGGUAAAGUCGAAUAUCUGGUGAAGUGGAAAGGAUGGCCCCCAAAGUACAGCACGUGGGAGCCGGAAGAGCACAUCCUGGACCCCCGCCUCGUCAUGGCCUAUGAGGAGAAGGAGGAGAGAGACCGAGCGUCGGGGUAUAGGAAGAGAGGCCCGAAACCCAAGCGGCUUCUGCUGCAGCGGCUGUACAGCAUGGACCUGCGGAGCUCCCACAAGGCCAAGGGCAAGGAGAAGCUCUGCUUCUCCCUGACGCGCCCACUCGGCAGCGGGAGCCCCGAGGGGGUGGUCAAGGCGGGGACACCUGAGCUGGUGGACAAGGGCCCCUUGGUGCCCACCCUGCCCUUCCCGCUCCGCAAGCCGCGCAAGGCCCACAAGUACCUGCGGCUCUCACGCAAGAAGUUCCCGCCCCGCGGGCCCAACCUGGAGAGUCUCAGCCAUCGACGGGAGCUCUUCCUGCAGGAGUCACCGGCCCCAGACGUCUUGCAGGCGGCCAGCGAGUGGGAGCCCACCGAGCAGCCCCCGGAAGAGGAGGCAGAGACAGACCUGGCCGAAGGGCCCCCUCCCUGGACACCUGCGCUCCCCCCAAGUGAGGUGACCGUGACCGACAUCACCGCCAACUCCGUCACCGUCACCUUCCGAGAGGCCCAGGCGGCCGAGGGCUUCUUCCGAGACCGCAGCGGGAAGUUCUGAAUCACCGUUUUUUACUCUUCUUAAACUGCUUUCUUUUGGGGUUGGGGUGGGGACUUCCAGAGUUGGGGAGGGGUUAGGGGUGGGGUAAUUAUUUUAUUUUAUUUAAAAAAAAACCUGAGCAGAAGAAGGGGGGAAGACCCUCCCACCCUUCCCCUUCCUCUGCAAGGGACUUUUACAGAGAGGCCUCGGGCAGGGGCUGGCAGGCCGGGCAUUGCUCUGGGAGUUGGGGCAUCUCCCCAGGGCAGGACAGGGACAAGGCCGCCUGCCUGGGACAUCUCUGUCCUCAUUCUCUAGAGAUGCAGUAGCUGGCUCUGGGAGUGACAGGAGCGUCGGGAGGCCCAGGCCUGCUCCCCUGAGCAGCCCGCUUCAGCCACCUGGCUGGUUUCACCUUCCCAUUUUUUUGAUCGGGUCUUUGUUUGGAACUUUCCACUCCAGCUUUGUGGUGGGCCGUGGAGGCUGUCUGUGACCAGCAUGACUGGGUCAGCAAGCAGAGGCAGGAGGAAGGGUUUGAGAUUGCUGGGGCAUGUCCCCUCCCCUUCAGAGAGGUGUCUGCCCUUCCCAGGGAGGAGGCUGCCAGCUGAGACCCUUCUGCUGAGAGCUCCACCCUCCCCCAUCACCUGGCCUGUGCAGAAACACGUGGCGCCCAGCCCCGCAGGGGCAAUGUGGGCACAGGCGCACGCUGCAGGACGACCACGUGAAGACACGGGGAGGAGGUGGCCAUUCACAGACAGAGGAUAGAGGCCCGGAACAGAGCCUGCCUUCACGCUGUGGCGAGGAACCAGCCUGCGACACCCUCAUCCCGUCUGCCAGCCUCAACAGCCGCGAGAGAACAAACUUGUGUCUAAGCCCCGGAGUGCGGUCCUUUGUUACGGCAGCCCUGGUGGGUUACAACGAGGACGCGGACGGUGUCCCCGAGAGGAGGCUGGGACUCGGUGCAGGGCUUACCUGGAGGCCUGGAGGCCCGGAGCUGCGUUACCAUCCCAGCCCUCCGGCCGGGCGCUGACUUCCCGCACUGCUGAGGAGCUCGCCCUGGCAAGAGAAGAGCCCACCGGGCAGGGGAGCGGCUGAGCCGCGGCUGCAAUCGGAGAGGAGGCGGAGAGGCCAGGGGGUGUGUCAGUGGGAGAGCUGAGACGCUCCAGCCUGAGAAUCAGGAAGGAUGGAUUCAAUAGUGAGCCAGAGUAGCUGUUUAGAGAAGAUGAAGAGGAGUGUUAUGGAAAGCUCGGCACUUGUCUUCGAGGCAGCAGAAGACAAGAACAAAUGAACAAGAACAAGAACGACAACAAGGACAAAUAAGGUCUCCCUCUGUCACCCAGGCUGGAGUGCACUGGAAUAAUCAGAACUCACCAUAGCCUGAAACUCCUAGGUUCGAGCGAUCCUGCUGCCUCAGCCUCCACAGGAGAAUAGCAAGGACUACAGGUGAUUUAGUUUACUGUGGAAAACACCAAGGCCAACUGGAAGCAAGUGCUGAAUAUGCAAAGGCCAAACAAACACACGCACUGAUAAAGGAAGCCCACCCCUACCAGGAAUACAAUAGCCUUCUCCAAAGAGGGGAACCAUCCUUCCCUCAUCCAACCUCAUGCCCAACCUCCCAGCUGCUGCAACAGGAGGAAAACAGCCCCCUCCAACAGGGGAGCUCCCAAACAGGAGGGGAAAGACCCCUCCAGUCCCGGCCCAAAUAGAACAGAACACAGGACAAGUUUGGGAAAUCUGUCCAAGGAACACUCAGGAGCGGGAAGGGGCAGCCAGCGUGGGAACCUCAUGCCACAGUCCUGGGGGCUUGAGAUUCUCCCCGAGGGGAAUCAGCUUUGGACUCAGCCUCUGACACCGUGGGGAGGUCAAAAUGAAGACACAGAGAGGAAUCUCUGCAUUUAAUGUUUAUUUGGGAAGAGAAGAAUGACAAUUGAGGGGGUACACCCGGGAAAAGACAAGGUUGGGCAUUCUAUAAAAAGGGGAAGUGUUAGGUCUUGCUCUUGGCGAAGGUUCGCUGGCACUAGUCAGGGUGCGAGGAGCUGGCGAGGGCCGCUGCUGAGCACGGUGGUGGCCCAGUGAGUCCCAGGGCGGCAGCUGUUCCUCUCGGAAGCUGGAGAGAAACUGGCUUCAGGGUCCAACAAGCAGCUUCAGCAGUCAGGCCUGCAGUCACAUUUCUGGAGCAAAGUUCUGUACCCAGGGCUUCUUCCUGCUGGCUUCUCCACUGUUGCAGUUGGGUAUGACAAGGAUGACCCAAUUCUCAGGAUCAACUUGUACAAAGGAUGUUUCUCAGAGCUUGUGAGUUUCACCCUGAUGUGCACUCCCACCCAUUUACGUGCAGUUAAUGACCAGCUCGGUGAGUGUGGCCUGUUGGAAGGAGCCAGGUCAGGGGCUCCCGGGCUGGGGGGAAGGGAGAUGGGUCCAGAGGCAGAAACAGCCAGUGACAGGAGGGCCCAGGAGAGCAGGGAGGAAGCCUUGGGGUGGGGGCAGCACUGGGGGCAGCCAGAGUGCUGCAGUGUGUCUGGGCAGGGGCCAAGGGAAGGCCAAAGGGGAAGCGCAGGGGCCAGGGAGACAGGGGAUUUGGCUCCAGGAAGCCUCUCACCUGAGGAUCUCCUGCAGCUGGGUGUCCAGUAAUUGAUGAUUUUCAUUCAAUCCGUCCCAAGGCUGGAAUGGCUUUCCCUGGUGGUGCACAAAGUUUUCCCAGCAGUGUUGAAAUUCUGAGGUAGAGAGGGAGAAAGCAGUCAGGGCCCGGCAGGCCUCUCUUCCCUGCCCCUUGAGACAGUCCCCUCCCAGGGCCAGGUCCCCUGGGUGCCAGUGGGGGUCUGGCUGGCUCAGGCCUGAAUAGGCUCCCCUAGAACCCUGACCUUCUGCUGGCGUCCAGACCCGUGAGUUCCCCACAGUGUUGUUCCUGCAGCUGCAACCCUGACCCCACUUCUCACCUGGAAGAGACAUGAUGUGUAGCUGGGCCCCUUUCUGAUGCAUCCUUCGAAGGCCCUGCUGGAUUUCUGGCUCAUGGUGGUAGUAGAGGCGGGCAGCAAAUAUGGUCAGGCUCAUGUUCCUCUGUGUGGCCAGAAAGUCAGCCACGAGUUCUGCACAGUUGGCACAGGGACUCCAGGAUGCGUACCAGGUAACCUGGUAGUCCUGGUCAGAGGACAGCAUGCCAUGGAACCAAGACAGGAAGCAGUUCUCUGCAUGGCAAGGAGUUUUGGAAUCACCCUGGGAGAGGAGGAGGAGAGAAGGGGGUGCUGUGGGUAGAGGGGCAGGCAAUGCAGGGGAGGGACAGUGGCAGCAGGGCCCUGGCCAGGAGCCCCAGGACAUUUGGUUCCUGGAGCUUCCUCCUCCAUCCCUCCCCCUCUUGUCUGUCACACUCGAGUCUUCCCUGGCCCCACUCCUGGCUCCUGCACUGGCUCCAGCAGCCUGUCCAGGCGUCUGUCUAGCAGCCACCCUGAGCCCCUGCCUGGCCCUCUGGGCUGGGGCUUGUUCCUGCCUGCUGUCUGCUGGGGACGGCUGCGGGGCUGGACCCACCCCUGGGGGCCAUGGCCCACUUGACGUGAGGCGUGGGCACCAGUGAGAUACACGGGAGGAGGGGGCGCCAACUGUCUCAUGAGGAGCCCGUAGGAACCGCAGGUUGAAACAGUGUCAGAGACGUCGCACUAGGCAAGAUAUUGCGGCUACGUUCCCGGUUUCUACCGCCUUCUCAGUAUGGGGACUAGACAAAUGUAACUGCAUUUCUGUCCCUGGGUGCCCACGGGAUGACACUGCUGUAGGGCCGGCCUGCCCCCCACAGCCACCACCACACCCCUGGGGGUCUCCUGCCUGGGUGAGGAGGGCAGGGGUGGCUGGGACAUUGCAGGGUGAGACGUGUGGGGUCACCAUGGUGCGAUGACACGAUCAGGGCACUGGGGGGGGCCCAGCCAGCCCAGCAGUGACCAGGCCAAACCCAACUCUCCACAGCGCCCUGUCCCUGCAGCCUGCUGGACGCAAAGCCCAGUCACACGACUUCGGGAAACACGCGCUGGUAGAGUCUGGGUGGCCCUACGCAGGCCGUAGUGGGCAGUCACAGCCCAGGACCACCAGUCCAGGGCAGUCCAGCAGGCACGUCCUGCCCAAGGACUUAAAUGUGGGAAGAAAACAUACAAUUGAGAGCAGCUGUGUGGCAUUUUCCUUGUUACUGGGUGUUGUGCAUUCUCAACUGGCUUAGCUCCUGCCCGGGGUGUGGUUGGGGUGUGGACGAUACCUGGUUUCGGAAGACCCCGCAGAGGAAGGAAGCAGGUGAAUUGCUGUCCUUGUUUGUUUUCACCGUGAAGCACAGCCAGCAGCUGGUCCUGUCUCGGAGGCUGGUUGUGUUGUUGAACUGGUAGUAAAAUAUUUUUGGAGAUAUUCUCUCUAUGGGGUCUCUGAAGGCAUGGGAGAGAAACAUAAAACCCAGAUAGUGUCCCUGGAGUCUGUACAGUCUCAGGGCCAUUGAACUGAGCCCCCUGCACCACCUGGGCACCGGGCCUGCCUGGCCCUGUGUAGCCCUGACACUCUGCAGCCUUCUGAGGCAGGAAGACUGGGGGAGAGGAAGAGACGCCCCGGCCUGAGAAGCAGGAAGGAUGCAGAGGAAGGAGGAGCCUUUGGUGGCCUGUCCCACGUGGAGCAUUCCAGCUGCUCCGGACCAGGGAGUUCCUGGGAGCAGAGACCCCACUGGACUGUAAGGCGGGCCUCUGCCCCAUUCUUUUCUGCAGGACGAGGACACAGUCUGGCCUGGCCACUUAGGCCCAGACAGCCAAGGAGUGUGUACACAGAUCUGGGCCUCUCUGGGCCUGCCCCUCGGAGGACAGCGGAACAGAGAGAGCAUCGCCCUGGACAGGCUGAGGCAGCCAGGGGAGCCCCUGGAUCCGGCCCUAGGAACUGUGCCCAGGGACACCAGCCACUCAGCAGCCCUGGGGACAGAGGGAGAGUGAGGGGCCAGGUGUGUGCCGCCUCUCAGGUCUUCACACUCAGAGGGCCAAGAAGAGAGGCAGGAGGAGCAGGGGGUGUUGGCCUGCGUCCCACCCUCGACUCCAAUGGCGUUUCUGUCUUCUGCAUCUGCCUGCCUGGAGCUGCACCUGUCGGGCUGAGCCCCUGCUUCCUCUUGUCCCCAUGCCACAGAACAGGAGCGGUGGGUGUCCCAGGCCACCGUGUUGGGACCAUGCCCACAGCCGCUCACAGCUCCCUCAGCUGGGGUUUGCUCCCGUGGUCCUCGACCCAGGUGCUCACUCCCAGACUCCCCUUGAGGGCCUGAGCUGCCCUUCCCUGGCCUCUCUGAUCCCAGGCCGCCCUCCUCCUUUCUCUGCUUUCUGGAAAGGCUCUGAGGCUCUCCAGGCCCCCGUGUCCCCCAAAGCUACAUUUACCCCAAGUCUUAUUGAAAUGUGAACCGAC
This is an RNA transcript of Lemur catta (Ring-tailed lemur), 6190 nucleotides long. It is a transcript of the gene named chromobox 7, with no coding region annotated. The record is from RefSeq and is a predicted model, not a curated record. Lineage: Eukaryota; Metazoa; Chordata; Mammalia; Primates; Lemuridae. The transcript has 11 exons.